Molecule: ribosomal RNA, 254 nt
Filed under: uncultured bacterium
Lineage: Bacteria
Description: partial 16S ribosomal RNA
Rfam family: Bacterial small subunit ribosomal RNA
Source: RNAcentral
UAGCGUAGGGUGCAAGCGUUUAAUCGGAAUACUGGGCGUAAAGCGUGCGCAGGCGGUUAUGUAAGACAGUUGUGAAAUCCCCGGGCUCAACCUGGGAAUUGCAUCUGUGACUGCAUAGCUAGAGUACGGUAGAGGGGAUGGAAUUCCGCGUGCAGCAGUGAAAUGCGUAGAGAUCGGAGGAACACCUGUGGCGAAGGCGGCCCCCUGGGCCGGCCCUGACACUGAGACGCGGAAGGCGAUGGGGAGCGAACGGG